Molecule: ribosomal RNA, 216 nt
Filed under: Glomeromycotina sp.
Lineage: Eukaryota; Fungi; Glomeromycota
Description: partial small subunit ribosomal RNA
Rfam family: Eukaryotic small subunit ribosomal RNA (bases 46-216)
Source: RNAcentral
GGGUCAGUAGGUUGGUCGUGCCACCGGUACGUACCGGUCUCACCGAUUCCUCCUUCCUGAAGAACCGUAAUGCCAUUAAUUUGGUGUUGCGGGGAAACAGGACUGUUACUUUGAAAAAAUUAGAGUGUUUAAAGCAAGCUAACGCUUGAAUACAUUAGCAUGGAAUAAUGAAAUAGGACGAUCGAUCCUAUUUUGUUGGUUUCUAGGAUUGACGUA